Molecule: transfer RNA, 74 nt
Filed under: bacterium HR21
Lineage: Bacteria
Description: tRNA-Gly
Rfam family: tRNA
About the family: Transfer RNA (tRNA) molecules are approximately 80 nucleotides in length.
Source: RNAcentral
GCGGGAAUAGCUCAGUUGGUAGAGCAUCGGCUUCCCAAGCCGAGGGUCGCGGGUUCGAGUCCCGUUUCCCGCUC